Molecule: long non-coding RNA, 2189 nt
Organism: Oryzias javanicus (javanese ricefish)
Lineage: Eukaryota; Metazoa; Chordata; Actinopteri; Beloniformes; Adrianichthyidae
Source: Ensembl
UGCUGCGGUUAUGGCUUAUAAAAAGCCAAGCAUCUCAAGAAGCACGCUGGGUUGCAAAACAAAUCAGUGUUUCAUGUGCUUUUUCAGUAGAAAGAGAGGUCUGUACUGCGGGGAGGCUUCAAGUGUGGAACAAUUAUAGAUCUCUGGGUUAUUCUUAGCGGCGCUCCCCUUGUGUUCACUCAGGCUGCUGGUUCGAGCACAGCAAGACAUCUGCUGACCAGGGAACGGGUUCCAGGAUCUCGGGGUUUACAGCAUCAGACAUGAGUAAGUGUCACAGUGAGCUGACGCAGCAGGAGCAGGAACUGUUGAAAAUCCGGCGGGACAGUGACACAAAGGCGGCUGAGCUUGCCAAGAUGGAGAAAAUGCUGCAGCAGACCAAGAGCCUGAUGGAUAAGAAGACUGAGUCUGGUUCAGAGAGUAUGGGCUUCCAGGAGAACUUAGUGGAGGACCUGGAGGAAAAAGUGAGGUCCAGCCGGCGCUACAGGAGAAACUCUCUUCAUCACACGCAGAUGCUGGAGAGCCAGAUGAAAACGGUGAAGGGAGAGCUGGUGGGCACUCUGGAUCACCUGCAAGAGCUGAGGAACGUCCUGAGGCGUUCGCAGCAGAAAGCAGAAGAACGCAAAGCUGCAAUGGAGAAGCUAGCAGCAGGGCUCAGAUGAACCGCCUUCAACACACCUAAUGCCUGCAAGUCUACACAUGUAUGACAGAAGAGCCCAUAGAAACCUCUGUCCAAGAAAACAACCUUUUACUUUUGGAGUUUUUAAUGACUACAAACAAAAAUGUUGCAGAUCCUCCUGCAUGUAUUCAUGCAUAUGAGCUUUUUUAUUUUCAGUAUCUUAAAUAUUGUUCAAAGAUAAUUGCUGGAUUGUGUCAGAAACACAAUAAAUUUGGACAAAUGUUGGAAUUAACUUUCAGCUGUGGAGAACUGUGAGCUCUGUGAUAAAGAUCUGUGGAUUCUGGUUAUGAAACACCCUCGUAAACCGUGUUGUGACAGCAUGUGAACGCUCGGGAACAUUUCUUGAAUCAUUCUGGUUUGAUGUGCUCAUGAGAGUAGCUUUAUCUGUAAUGGCAUCACAUCAGAAAUAUCAAGAAUGGGAGUUUAUAGGGAGACAGAAAAGGUUGGUCUGAGUGUAUUUAGCUAAGAACAAAGUCUGAAAGGUUGAAGGAAAAAAUGCUUUUUUUUCCAAAAGAAGUUUAGGUUGUUGUCCAAAACAGAAUAAUUAAAUAGUAACUUCCUAUUUGUUGGAUCAAUAAAGUGCUAUUCUAUUCUAUUCUAUUCUAUUCUAUUCUAUUCUAUUCUAUUCUAUUCUAUUCUAUUCUAUUCUAUUCUAUUCUAUUCUAUUCUAAAAUGCAACAGAGUAGUUAAAGUAUUGACAUUUUGAACUAAUAUAAUAAAGAAGAUUAAUCAAUGGAAACCUAAACCGUCUUUGUAAAAAGUGUGAUUUAAUCGUAGACUAAAAAUUAAGAAGAGCUGGAUCGGCUCUAAUAAUGAGAGUCAGAUCUUUCCAUAAUGUGGGUGCAGGAAUUUAAAAAGUUCCAUCAUCUCAGGAUUCAAGUCUGCAGGUUGGAAACUUCAGAAGAAGCCAGUUUCCCUGGAACACAUACUGUAGAUGCAAAAACUGAUAAAUAUAAUAGAUCUCAAGCCACCUAAAGGUUUUAAAACAAUUGAUAACAUCUUGAAUUGGAUCUAAAAUAAACAGUGUCUAAACUAGCUGUGGUCCCAGCUCUCUUCAGGUCAUGGAUCAGUUCCCUCAUUUAGUUCUGGUUGUUUCUCAGUUGCUCUCAACAUCCUUUAACCCCAACAGGUGGGAUUUUGCAUGGAGCUCCAGGUGGAGGGAAAUUGUCUUGUUUUUUUUUUCAAUUUUCUAAUAACUGAUCCAACAAUUGAUCUCUUCUCUCCAAACUACCUGCUUAUUGUAGAUUGGUUUAUGCCAGUCUUGAUCAGGUGAGCAAUUUUGUCCCUGGCGUCCUUCGACAGCUCUUUGGUCGAAGUGGAAAGGUUGCAGUCUGACUGUUUAAAGGUGUGUACAGGUGGAUUUUGUAGGGAUAAGAGUACAUAAGGGUGCCAUUGAUACAGGUGACAAAUAAAGACGAAGAAAGAACACGAGGAACAGAAUUUGUGCUUGUUUGUAGGAAUUGAACACUUAUUUUCUGUACCAUUAUACAAAUAAACUCUUUUAAAUUCAAAC